GCCGCUAUAGCUCAGCCGGUAGAGCAGCCGACUUGUAAUCGGCAGGUCCCGGGUUCGAUGCCUGGUGGCGGCACCA
RNAcentral lists this transfer RNA (76 nucleotides) under Pseudomonas nitroreducens. Its description in RNAcentral is "tRNA-Thr". It matches the Rfam family "tRNA". Rfam says of the family: Transfer RNA (tRNA) molecules are approximately 80 nucleotides in length. Their secondary structure includes four short double-helical elements and three loops (D, anti-codon, and T loops). The record is from RNAcentral. Lineage: Bacteria; Pseudomonadati; Pseudomonadota; Gammaproteobacteria; Pseudomonadales; Pseudomonadaceae. RNAcentral also lists the same sequence under 3 other names.